Non-coding RNA from Triticum aestivum (bread wheat), 125 nucleotides. The record is from Rfam. NCBI's taxonomy places the organism in Eukaryota, Viridiplantae, Streptophyta, Magnoliopsida, Poales, Poaceae.
CACCUACUCCCUCCAUCCCGAAAUACUUGUCGAAGAAAUGGAUAAAAAGGAAUGUAUCUAGAACUAAAAUAUGUCUAGAUACAUCAAUUCGUCUGACAAGUAUUUCCGGACGGAGGGAGUAUUUU